Amblyraja radiata (thorny skate) is the source of this 1265-nucleotide long non-coding RNA. RefSeq lists it as uncharacterized. NCBI's taxonomy places the organism in Eukaryota, Metazoa, Chordata, Chondrichthyes, Rajiformes, Rajidae. The transcript is spliced from 5 exons. The record is from RefSeq and is a predicted model, not a curated record.
GGCUCAAGCGACCACGUUAGGUCGCGCUCGCCGCAUGCUAGUGGGACAGGCCCUUAAAGAUUCUGGCGACGUCAGUGGGAUUCUGGAUGCCCCAGAGGUGAUCAUCAAUGGCACCAUAUUUACCAGCAAGUGGUGCCAUAUCUGUAAGAUCUACCGUCCCCCAAGAUGUCGACACUGCUACAGCUGCGAUGUGUGUGUAGAGGAUCUUGACCAUCACUGUUUCUUCCUUAAAAAGUGCAUUGGGAAAAGAAACCAUCGUUUUUUCUACACUUUACCAUUUCCCUAACUGUCUAUUUUCUUCUCAUGUUUUCCUUCUGCACUAUCUUUCUAGUGAAGAAUCCCAAUACAAUAUUUCUAUCCAAGAUCACCACUUUUAUUCUUGCUACAAUUUCGCUUCUUGCUUCUGUACCGUUAUUUUUCUUUUUCGCUUUUCAUACUUACCUCAUCGCAGCUGGAAUGACCACGUAUGAGCAGAUUUUGAGGACAUAUAAAAAUGAUCGGAAUCCUUUUCACAAAGGAUGUUGGAGAAACUUUACUGUCCUGCUGUUCGGUAACCAGCUAUCGAGGUAAGAUCGCCUUGUAAAUAAGAAUUUGAGACAACGUAAUGUAUUGGCCAAUCUAUUAUUUAAAUACAGUAUGAUAUUAAAACACUAUGAGAUAAACCAUUUCACCAGUGAUGGAAAUAUAACACAAUCUAUAAUUAUAUAGAUAUAGCAAUACAAUAUAAUAUAGCAAUCACCGUUCCCUUAAAUAAUCCUGAUAAAUUUAGAUUGAAGCUUUGCAGACUGAUAACACUUCUUUUACUAUCCAGUUCCAAUGAAGGGUCUUUGACCUAAAAUCUCAACUCUAUUUCUCUUCCUACAGAUGUAGCCUGAUCGGCUGAGUAUUUCCAGCAUUUUCUGGUUUUAUUGUGGCAUUUAAAUGAACCUCCUUGAGGGAGGAUUUCUGCUGCCUGGCAUCAGGCCACAGCAAAUUCACAUCCUGAAGUGUCCCAGCAAUGUACACUGCUGUGUGAGGAUCUUUACCAGAUGAACUGCGAUGGUUCAAGAUGGUAGUCCCCCAUCGCUUUCUCAAGGGCAAUUGAAAAUAGGCAAUAAAUGCAGAUCCUAUUAGGGACACUCGCACUUGAAAAAUAUAUUGAUUUUCUUUAGCCAGAGGGUGGUGAAUCUGUGGAAUUCAUUGCUACAGAUCGCUGAGGAGGCCAAGACAUUAAGUAUUUUUAAAGCAGAGAUUUAUAGGUUUUUGAUUAGUAAGGGUGUCAAAGG